GUUAUUAUUUUUAAAUUUAUUUUAUUGAGUAUUAUUAAAAUAUUUAAUGUUAUUUUUCAUCGUGCAGCUGUUUUUAGUCUUGUAUACAAUAUCAAACGACAGUAAAAAUAUUAAAAAGUAUUAAAACUUUUAAGAAAGUAAACUCUAUAAGUUAUUUAUUUAUAUAUGAAUAAUGUCUGAUAAGAUAUGAUAUUUAUAAACAUUGAAUAUGUAACGUAUUUGUAAUUAGUAUCGAUUAAACCAGUGUCAGUGUUACUUGGAUUUAAUUUUUUUUUAUCAAAUAACAAUGAAAACUUCCUUGUUUAAAAUAAUUGGUGUAUGUUGUUUUGUAAUCGCAUUAACUGUUGGUGAAAACUGCAUAAAGUUGUACCAAGAGUGUUCAGAUGAUAAUUUGUGUUGUAAAACGAUUCCUACUAUAGAAAAAUUAUCAUCUCGAGCAGGAGAGCAUUAUGGAGUUGAGUGCCGCACAAAUCGGAUUAUUGGUGCACCAAAAGAUUCUAAAAUUAAAAGUAUAUCAAGGUGCAGCCUCAUACUGACCUCUGUUCCUGAUAUUGAUGAAACUGAUUAAUUGUUGUUAAAAAUAUUUAAAUGUAAAUUUGUAAUUACAAAAAAAUAAACAACAGUAAUAAUAA
Long non-coding RNA from Cotesia glomerata, 632 nucleotides. RefSeq lists it as uncharacterized. The record is from RefSeq and is a predicted model, not a curated record. NCBI's taxonomy places the organism in Eukaryota, Metazoa, Arthropoda, Insecta, Hymenoptera, Braconidae. The transcript has 2 exons.